This is a non-coding RNA of Camellia sinensis, 269 nucleotides long. NCBI's taxonomy places the organism in Eukaryota, Viridiplantae, Streptophyta, Magnoliopsida, Ericales, Theaceae. The record is from RefSeq and is a predicted model, not a curated record.
AAAAGAUAUUACCAGUUGUCCGAAAACAACAUUUAUUGCUUUGCACGUUGCUUAUAUGCAAUGCUGCUGCCAUGGAGACACUUCCCAUAUUUCUGGAUAGUCUGGUUAUUGCUUGGGGUGCCAUCCUGAUUUCAGUUACAUUGAUACUUCUGUUUGGAGAGGCUGGAAAAGGUGGAGAACUCACACAUGAUGAGACAACAAUUAUUGCUGGAGCCCUUGGGCUUACUGAGAAAACAACCAGUGAUGCCAUGACUCCCAUAUAUGACACU